AUCCAACUGACGCGUCCCAAACAGGACGAGUCGUUCAUCUUGGAU
Molecule: non-coding RNA, 45 nt
Filed under: Schistosoma mattheei
Lineage: Eukaryota; Metazoa; Platyhelminthes; Trematoda; Strigeidida; Schistosomatidae
Source: RNAcentral